Molecule: non-coding RNA, 222 nt
Organism: Coccidioides immitis RMSCC 2394
Lineage: Eukaryota; Fungi; Ascomycota; Eurotiomycetes; Onygenales; Onygenaceae
Source: Rfam
CUAAUGUUUUAGAAGCUUUUGAUUCAGUAGAGCAUAUAGCAUAAUGUGUUCUCUAAAUCAGGCUAAAUUGCUGGAAACUCUAAAACUUUUAAGACAAUCAGCAGGUAACCUAAGAAGUAUUUAAGUAUAUCAAUAUUUAUUACUACCUAGGAUCUUCAGAGACUAAACGCCUGACAUUUUUGAAAAGAUGAAGAGAUAGUCCAAUUUUACUGGAAAGUAAAA